RNAcentral lists this long non-coding RNA (728 nucleotides) under Manihot esculenta (cassava). RNAcentral describes it as "long non-coding RNA (MESC_LNC007250)". The record is from RNAcentral. Lineage: Eukaryota; Viridiplantae; Streptophyta; Magnoliopsida; Malpighiales; Euphorbiaceae.
GUGAUUUAUGCUAAUUUUUCAAUUUUUUUUCCUCAAAAAUAAUAUUCAUUAAGAGGCCAAUAAUAAGCCUAAAGUUUACAGAAAAGCUUACACACAGGGUCCAAAGAAGAAAAAAUCUAGUCCAAACACCGCAAUCUUAAAGUCCAAAAACUAAAAAUUCGUAUUCUCGAUCUGACUAGCAAAAAUAGGCAUGCAAUGCUCUUCUAUUUCUGGAAGCUUUUAAUCGUCUUCGCUGCCAAGAACACACCAAGGACGUGUUACUCUUCCUAAAAAUAGGCACAGUUGUUUCAAACUCAUAAGAAUCAACAUAGUAAAAUAAAAAAUUAAGCUAAAAAAAAAGGUCUUGAAGCUUUUAGAAUAAAGAAAAACGAAAUAGAAGACUACAAAACACAUGCAAAACUAAAUCAACGAAGCUGAUGAAUAGACGCAUAAGAAAGGGAAGUGACCAAAAUAGCUCUAAAAACCCAUCCUUCUUUUACUAUGGUAUUUAUUUAAGACCACCGACCUGGGACUUCUACCUGCACCAAUAGAUAAAAGAAAUAGAAAAAAUAAGGACAUAAACUACACGAUAAGUGAAAAAACACCUCCCUCCCUCGCAUGAAGUCCCACUUUUCAAAACCAAGAAGACAAUUGAAGGGGAGGGAGACUAUCCACAUACGAGUGAGAGCAAGGAGAAGCCACCCACUCGAGAAGGACAGAAGCAGUCGCAGAAAUCAAUAAAAAGAGAC